This 21-nucleotide microRNA is filed under the name Marchantia polymorpha subsp. ruderalis. Lineage: Eukaryota; Viridiplantae; Streptophyta; Marchantiopsida; Marchantiales; Marchantiaceae. The record is from RNAcentral.
CUCCCAUACUCAGCUAUCGGC